UCUCCACUAUCUCAUCAGUCUCAACAGUUACUAUGUAUAAUCUCUUCAUUUUACAAGUCACAGCAGCACAUCAUAUUCACACUCAAACACCCAAUACAACAUCAUCAUAUAUAUGCAUAUGGACUCUCCUAAUAACCUAUAUGAUUGUGGUACCACACCUAUCGUCAUAAUUUGCCAGAGGUAUGUUACUAGACUUUCAUCGUCAUAAUUUGCCAGAGAUAUGUUACUGAACUUUCAUCGUCAUUUCGUCAUCAUGAUUCCUAGACACGACUCUAUAAGCAUGCAUGAGACAGACUCUUCAAGUAUUAAAAGAUCAUAACAUCAUC
RNAcentral lists this long non-coding RNA (326 nucleotides) under Medicago truncatula (barrel medic). RNAcentral describes it as "long non-coding RNA (MTRU_LNC000515)". Lineage: Eukaryota; Viridiplantae; Streptophyta; Magnoliopsida; Fabales; Fabaceae. The record is from RNAcentral.